Long non-coding RNA from Scophthalmus maximus (turbot), 2335 nucleotides. The record is from Ensembl. NCBI's taxonomy places the organism in Eukaryota, Metazoa, Chordata, Actinopteri, Pleuronectiformes, Scophthalmidae.
CAGGGCCUCUGUUUAAGGAGCCACGGUCACAACAGGCCAGUGUGCUGCCUGCUGCACAGAGGACUCUUGUGUCCCACUGACACCAUUACCAUACAGGGCAGCGGGUCACCGCGCCGAGCACGGUGAACCGCUGGGGGAGUCCUGCCUGCCACUGGUGCCAACACAACACACCGUGUAUCCAGCGGAGUGAAGUUGAUGGUGGCAGUGUUGACAAUGGGGACGGCGGUGGACGGCUGCGGCGACGCUGACGGCUUACUCCCCUGGGGUUCUUUCACAUGGCCGGACAGGAAAAGAGGUGGACUGACUGCUCACCGGCUGGUGCACCCCCCCUUGCCUAUGACAUCAGGAUGUCUCCGAGGGCAGCAGAUAAACCCGGGCUUGAACCAGUGAUGCCCCCCCGGGUGGAGGCACGCAGUGCACCACCGAAACUGAAAAGACCACAUUCACUCAGGUACAGCUCUCCUGUCCCCUCUUUCAAACAUACAUGUCACCGCACGUCUUCUGCUCCCCACCCAUAUCCAUCUCGCCUUUUACACACUGUGAACAGGGCAAUAGCUGUUCAACAUCCGAGGCUGCGACCCCGGCGUUGCUGGGGGAGUCUGAUCGGAGCGGUACCGGCUACAUCUAUACAUCUCUGCCUCCCCGCCAGGCCAGGAAGAGUCACAGACCAUUUCACUCGGGUAUUAAUGACCAACAACAGCCCAACUGCCUCUAAAACUAGAGUAUAUGAAACCCAUGAAAGCAUAUACACACACACACACACACACACACAGAGAGAGAGAGAGAGAGAGGCUGGGAGGAGGAAGGGGGUGUGGAGGGCAAGAUGCCAAGGCAAAGAGAAAUGAGGUGUGGGAAAGGCGAGGUAGAGGGAAAAAAACAAAGAGUCAAAAACAGAAAGUAGAUAAAGAUUGAGCGAUUCGAAAGGGCAUGUACUGUACAGGAUCACGAGCCGGAGAAAUAAACAACUGUCAAGGACUACACUCGCCAGCGACCUGGGGGUGCCAGUGGAAAUAUGAGGGGAAAACAAAGAUGGUGCAGCAUCAUUUAUGCAAACUCAGUUUACCGGCCUUCAGCAAAUGGAUGAUACAGAGGUCACCGGGUCUGUCAAGGGCAAGAAAAGAGAAGUUAGGUCCUCUAUUUGUUGAGAUUGGAGAAUGAAAUGAAGGCCUAUUUACGUAUCUACUAAGCUUUGAACGACAUUCUGGCAUCAUCUUUUUAUGUCGAUUUAUUGUUAUUUAAUUAACAGUUUACAGUUCAAUUCGGGUUUUUUGCUUGUUUAAACGAUGCUGACCAUAAAAAAUUCUCCCAAAAUUUCUGUGCGAAAUAAAACAGCAGUAUUUCAUAACUCAGUCAUGUUGCAGUUUGUCUUUCUUCAGAGGACUUGAUUAUAUGUUUCACAGUGGAGAUGGCUAGGUUAACGCAAAGUGCAUCCUGAACAAUGCAUUAUUAAUAUUUUAUUUUAUGAGCGGGGAAAAGAUUGUAGCAGAUUAGUAUCUUAUCGGUAUCGGUACUCAAGGUUGCAGGAUCCGUAUCGGAUCGAACACGAGAAAAAUUGGUAAUGUCCCGUCCCUAGAUCUUACAAACCACAGCGAAUAAGUGAUCAAUUAAACCACAGAUUAGUUUGAUAAAAUAAUAAUUUGUUACAGCCCUAUACUAACUGAUUUCCCCCCCCCAAAGUAGCGGUGUAAAAAAAAAAAAGCUUAAGGAGAGCUUGCUCAGGAUACUGCAGAUACAGACAGGAUGUGCAGUAUAUAUUAGAGGACAGACCUAUCAAUCAGCUACACGACAUAUGUCGGAGUGGCGUGCAGACAUCAGUGACAGUGCCGAUCAGUCAGCGUGAGCACGUGCAAAGUGUCGAGCUCCCGGCUCACAUCUUUCAGACGUCUCUCCUUGAUGUCCGGCCGAGAGGUCAGGAUCAGAGAGAGAGAUGAAGGCACCGUUUAAUCAGUGCCUCGCUGCUGGAGCGCCGGCCUCUGACCUCUGACCCCGACCGCAUGACCCUGCCCUCCAGCCGUUCUGCCGCUCACGGGCAGACUCAAAGGGGCUGCCGGUAUUGUCGUCGGGGGGGGCAUCGCCAAAAGAGCUGAGGGGUCGACGGGAGCUGGAGGACACAUCAGAGGCGUGACGGCCCCCUGCCGGGCCGAGCUCGUCCCCUCAGGUGCAGCGCAGGCGGGACCCUGCCCCCAUAUCCACAUCUUCACCACAUGGAUGUGAGGAGAUUCAACACAAUCGUGGCUUUACAUUAUUCAUGACACUCUUCCAUAUUUUGGAUAUAUCUUAAUAUAUAUGAUAUGUUUUUGUUUGUGAGUUUGUCUUGAUGCUCACUAUACAGUAG